Molecule: ribosomal RNA, 851 nt
Filed under: Ramularia grevilleana
Lineage: Eukaryota; Fungi; Ascomycota; Dothideomycetes; Mycosphaerellales; Mycosphaerellaceae
Description: eukaryotic LSU rRNA
Rfam family: Eukaryotic large subunit ribosomal RNA
Source: RNAcentral
AGGAAAAGAAACCAACAGGGAUUGCCCUAGUAACGGCGAGUGAAGCGGCAACAGCUCAAAUUUGAAAUCUGGCGCAAGCCCGAGUUGUAAUUUGUAGAGGAUGCUUCUAGGUAGCGACCGGUCUAAGUUCCUUGGAACAGGACGUCAGAGAGGGUGAGAAUCCCGUAUGUGACCGGCCCGCACCUUCCACGUAGCUCCUUCGAAGAGUCGAGUUGUUUGGGAAUGCAGCUCUAAAUGGGAGGUAAAUUUCUUCUAAAGCUAAAUACCGGCCAGAGACCGAUAGCGCACAAGUAGAGUGAUCGAAAGAUGAAAAGCACUUUGGAAAGAGAGUUAAAAAGCACGUGAAAUUGUUGAAAGGGAAGCGCUCACAACCAGACUUCUGGGCGGUGUUCCGCCGGUCUUCUGACCGGUCUACUCGCCGUCCCGAGGCCAACAUCAUCUGGGACCGCUGGAUAAGACCGGAGGAAUGUAGCUCCCCUCGGGGAGUGUUAUAGCCUCCGGUGAUGCAGCGCGUCUCGGGUGAGGUCCGCGCUUCGGCAAGGAUGUUGGCGUAAUGGUUGUCAGCGGCCCGUCUUGAAACACGGACCAAGGAGUCUAACAUCUAUGCGAGUGUUCGGGUGUCAAACCCCUACGCGGAAUGAAAGUGAACGGAGGUGGGAAGGGCAACCUGCACCAUCGACCGAUCCUGAUGUCCUCGGAUGGAUUUGAGUAAGAGCAUAGCUGUUGGGACCCGAAAGAUGGUGAACUAUGCCUGAAUAGGGUGAAGCCAGAGGAAACUCUGGUGGAGGCUCGCAGCGGUUCUGACGUGCAAAUCGAUCGUCAAAUUUGGGUAUAGGGGCGAAAGACUAAUC